Eubalaena glacialis (North Atlantic right whale) is the source of this 552-nucleotide long non-coding RNA. RefSeq lists it as uncharacterized. The record is from RefSeq and is a predicted model, not a curated record. The transcript has 3 exons. Lineage: Eukaryota; Metazoa; Chordata; Mammalia; Artiodactyla; Balaenidae.
ACCAAGUACAAAACAGAACAAAACAAAAAGGCUCUUGGUUACUGGUCCCCCAAUAUGGGGAUUAUUCAUCAUGCUGGGAACACUGACGCCCUGCCUACCACCAGGCUUUGUGCCAAUGUGCUGAGGGUGGGCAAAGCAGGAGGUCCCUGAGGAGGUGUGAGCAGGUGAAGACAGCCCAGCAGGUGGAUGGCAGACGACCUGGAUCAGCUGCACACUCACAGCUCCCUGCACGGGUGAGGGGUCGCUGAAUAUGUUGGAGGACAGACCACAGGUGCACACGCCGUGCCAGCAAGAGCUGAGACGGCCAAGGUUAAGUAUGGAAGUUUGCUGAACCCUGACAGAUUCACAACUGGAGACCUCAGAAGGGAUACUACCAGGGACACUGUCACCCCCUCAGCAUGGGGACUCCAUGAACAACUGCACAAGGACUCCCCCCACCGCAGUGUUCCCAAGAGAAGAUAUGCACUUCCUCAUUCCCAGGUGCCAUCUCAGGGAAUAGAAGGAGGAGAGGCAGAAUUUGAAAGACCCGAGCAUUUACCUGAAAGAGACUAU